Molecule: ribosomal RNA, 401 nt
Filed under: uncultured bacterium
Lineage: Bacteria
Description: bacterial SSU rRNA
Rfam family: Bacterial small subunit ribosomal RNA
Source: RNAcentral
UGGGGAAUAUUGGACAAUGGGGGAAACCCUGAUCCAGCAAUGCCGCGUGUGUGAAGAAGGUCUUCGGAUUGUAAAGCACUUUCGACGGGGACGAUGAUGACGGUACCCGUAGAAGAAGCCCCGGCUAACUUCGUGCCAGCAGCCGAGGUAAUACGAAGGGGGCUAGCGUUGCUCGGAAUGACUGGGCGUAAAGGGCGCGUAGGCGGAUGGCACAGUCAGAUGUGAAAUUCCCGGGCUUAACCUGGGGGCUGCAUUUGAUACGUGUUAUCUAGAGUGAGGAAGAGGGUCGUGGAAUUCCCAGUGUAGAGGUGAAAUUCGUAGAUAUUGGGAAGAACACCGGUGGCGAAGGCGGCGACCUGGUCCUUGACUGACGCUGAGGCGCGAAAGCGUGGGGAGCAAAC